GUGUCAGCCGCCGCGGUAAUACGAGGGGGGCAAGCGUUGUUCGGAUUUAUUGGGCGUAAAGGGUGCGUAGGCGGUUUGGCAAGUCUGAUGUGAAAUCUAUGGGCUCAACCCAUAGUCUGCAUCAGAAACUGCCGGGCUUGAGUAUGGGAGAGGUGAGUGGAAUUUCCGGUGUAGCGGUGAAAUGCGUAGAUAUCGGAAGGAACACCUGUGGCGAAAGCGGCUCACUGGACCAUAACUGACGCUGAUGCACGAAAGCUAGGGGAGCAAACAGGAUUAGAUACCCUGGUAGUCCUAGCCCUAAACGAUGAUUGCUUGGUGUGGCAGGUACCCAAUCCUGCCGUGCCGAAGCUAACGCGAUAAGCAAUCCGCCUGGGGAGUACGGUCGCAAGGCUGAA
RNAcentral lists this ribosomal RNA (395 nucleotides) under uncultured bacterium. Its description in RNAcentral is "bacterial SSU rRNA". It matches the Rfam family "Bacterial small subunit ribosomal RNA", at positions 505 to 898 of the family's 1533-position model. The record is from RNAcentral.